CGAGCAUCCUCUAAUCCGCCAGGGUCACGGUAGAAUGCUUUGGCUACAUUCCAUUCAUGCCAAGGAAGAUCACAAGAUGUUUUUAACCCUGAUGGGGAUACCAGCUCAAUAAUUCACCUCCUGUCAUGAUUGACACCUGAGACAACAGACAACACACGUCUAUAUCAGCAUGAGGAACUGCUGACACCCCC
Long non-coding RNA from Coregonus clupeaformis (lake whitefish), 191 nucleotides. RefSeq lists it as uncharacterized. Lineage: Eukaryota; Metazoa; Chordata; Actinopteri; Salmoniformes; Salmonidae. The record is from RefSeq and is a predicted model, not a curated record. The transcript has 3 exons.